This 2916-nucleotide ribosomal RNA is filed under the name Vibrio parahaemolyticus. RNAcentral describes it as "bacterial LSU rRNA". It matches the Rfam family "Bacterial large subunit ribosomal RNA". Lineage: Bacteria; Pseudomonadati; Pseudomonadota; Gammaproteobacteria; Vibrionales; Vibrionaceae. The record is from RNAcentral.
GUUGUAUGGUUAAGUGACUAAGCGUACACGGUGGAUGCCUUGGCAGUCAGAGGCGAUGAAAGACGUAGUAACUUGCGAUAAGCCCAGAUUAGGUAGUAACAACCAUUUGAGUCUGGGAUUUCUGAAUGGGGAAACCCACUUACAUAAGUAAGUAUCAUUAAUUGAAUACAUAGGUUAAUGAGGCGAACCGGGGGAACUGAAACAUCUAAGUACCCCGAGGAAAAGAAAUCAACCGAGAUUCCGAAAGUAGCGGCGAGCGAAAUUGGACUAGCCCUUAAGCUUUACACGCGUUAGACGAACGGUCUGGAAAGUCCGACGAUACAGGGUGAUAGUCCCGUAGUUGACGACGUGUGUUCAGUGAAAUCGAGUAGGGCGGGACACGUGAUAUCCUGUCUGAAUAUGGGGGGACCAUCCUCCAAGGCUAAAUACUACUGACUGACCGAUAGUGAACCAGUACCGUGAGGGAAAGGCGAAAAGAACCCCUGUGAGGGGAGUGAAAUAGAACCUGAAACCGUGUACGUACAAGCAGUAGGAGCAGGCUUUGUCCUGUGACUGCGUACCUUUUGUAUAAUGGGUCAGCGACUUAUAUUCAGUGGCAAGGUUAACCAUCUAGGGGAGCCGUAGGGAAACCGAGUCUUAACUGGGCGUUCAGUCUCUGGAUAUAGACCCGAAACCAGGUGAUCUAGCCAUGGGCAGGUUGAAGGUUGAGUAACAUCAACUGGAGGACCGAACCGACUAAUGUUGAAAAAUUAGCGGAUGACUUGUGGCUAGGGGUGAAAGGCCAAUCAAACCUGGAGAUAGCUGGUUCUCCCCGAAAGCUAUUUAGGUAGCGCCUCGGACGAAUACUACUGGGGGUAGAGCACUGUUAAGGCUAGGGGGUCAUCCCGACUUACCAACCCUUUGCAAACUCCGAAUACCAGUAAGUACUAUCCGGGAGACACACGGCGGGUGCUAACGUCCGUCGUGGAGAGGGAAACAACCCAGACCGCCAGCUAAGGUCCCAAAUUACUACUAAGUGGGAAACGAUGUGGGAAGGCUCAGACAGCCAGGAUGUUGGCUUAGAAGCAGCCAUCAUUUAAAGAAAGCGUAAUAGCUCACUGGUCGAGUCGGCCUGCGCGGAAGAUGUAACGGGGCUAAGUAGUAAACCGAAGCUGCGGCAAUGUGCUUUUGCACAUUGGGUAGGGGAGCGUUCUGUAAGCGGUUGAAGGUGUGUGGUAACGCAUGCUGGACGUAUCAGAAGUGCGAAUGCUGACAUGAGUAACGAUAAAGGGGGUGAAAAACCUCCUCGCCGGAAGACCAAGGGUUCCUGUCCAACGUUAAUCGGGGCAGGGUAAGUCGACCCCUAAGGCGAGGCCGAAAGGCGUAGUCGAUGGGAAACGGGUUAAUAUUCCCGUACUUCUUACAAUUGCGAUGGGGGGACGGAGAAGGCUAGGUGGGCCUGGCGACGGUUGUCCAGGUUCAAGUGCGUAGGCUUAAGAGUUAGGUAAAUCCGGCUCUUUUUAAGGCUGAGACACGACGUCGAGCACCUACGGGUGUGAAGUCAUUGAUGCCAUGCUUCCAGGAAAAGCCUCUAAGCUUCAGAUUGUAAGGAAUCGUACCCCAAACCGACACAGGUGGUCGGGUAGAGAAUACCAAGGCGCUUGAGAGAACUCGGGUGAAGGAACUAGGCAAAAUGGUACCGUAACUUCGGGAGAAGGUACGCUCUCGACGGUGAAGUCCCUCGCGGAUGGAGCUAUUGAGAGUCGCAGAUACCAGGUGGCUGCAACUGUUUAUUAAAAACACAGCACUGUGCAAAAUCGUAAGAUGACGUAUACGGUGUGACGCCUGCCCGGUGCCGGAAGGUUAAUUGAUGGGGUUAGACUUCGGUCGAAGCUCUUGAUCGAAGCCCCGGUAAACGGCGGCCGUAACUAUAACGGUCCUAAGGUAGCGAAAUUCCUUGUCGGGUAAGUUCCGACCUGCACGAAUGGCGUAAUGAUGGCCACGCUGUCUCCACCCGAGACUCAGUGAAAUUGAAAUCGCUGUGAAGAUGCAGUGUACCCGCGGCUAGACGGAAAGACCCCGUGAACCUUUACUACAGCUUGGCACUGAACAUUGACCCUACAUGUGUAGGAUAGGUGGGAGGCUUUGAAGCACGUACGCCAGUAUGUGUGGAGCCGUCCUUGAAAUACCACCCUUGUAGUGUUGAUGUUCUAACGUUGACCCCUUAUCGGGGUUGCGGACAGUGCCUGGUGGGUAGUUUGACUGGGGCGGUCUCCUCCCAAAGAGUAACGGAGGAGCACGAAGGUGGGCUAAUCACGGUUGGACAUCGUGAGGUUAGUGCAAUGGCAUAAGCCCGCUUGACUGCGAGAAUGACAAUUCGAGCAGGUGCGAAAGCAGGUCAUAGUGAUCCGGUGGUUCUGAAUGGAAGGGCCAUCGCUCAACGGAUAAAAGGUACUCCGGGGAUAACAGGCUGAUACCGCCCAAGAGUUCAUAUCGACGGCGGUGUUUGGCACCUCGAUGUCGGCUCAUCACAUCCUGGGGCUGAAGUCGGUCCCAAGGGUAUGGCUGUUCGCCAUUUAAAGUGGUACGCGAGCUGGGUUUAGAACGUCGUGAGACAGUUCGGUCCCUAUCUGCCGUGGGCGUUGGAAGAUUGAAGGGGGCUGCUCCUAGUACGAGAGGACCGGAGUGGACGAACCUCUGGUGUUCGGGUUGUGUCGCCAGACGCAUUGCCCGGUAGCUAAGUUCGGAAUCGAUAACCGCUGAAAGCAUCUAAGCGGGAAGCGAGCCCUGAGAUGAGUCUUCCCUGAUACUUUAAGUAUCCUAAAGGGUUGUCGGAGACUACGACGUUGAUAGGUCAGGUGUGUAAGUGCUGUGAGGCAUUGAGCUAACUGAUACUAAUUGCCCGUGAGGCUUAACCAUACAACACCCAAGGGGUUU